AUUGAACGCUGGCGGAAUGCUUUACACAUGCAAGUCGAACGGCAGCACGGGGGCAACCCUGGUGGCGAGUGGCGAACGGGUGAGUAAUACAUCGGAACGUGCCCGGUCGUGGGGGAUAACGUAGCGAAAGUUACGCUAAUACCGCAUACGAUCUGAGGAUGAAAGCGGGGGACCUUCGGGCCUCGCGCGAUCGGAGCGGCCGAUGUCAGACUAGGUAGUUGGUGGGGUAAAGGCCUACCAAGCCGACGAUCUGUAGCUGGUCUGAGAGGACGACCAGCCACACUGGGACUGAGACACGGCCCAGACUCCUACGGGAGGCAGCAGUGGGGAAUUUUGGACAAUGGGCGCAAGCCUGAUCCAGCCAUUCCGCGUGCAGGACGAAGGCCUUCGGGUUGUAAACUGCUUUUGUAUGGAACGAAAAGGCUCUGGCUAAUACCUGGGGCUCAUGACGGUACCGUAAGAAUAAGCACCGGCUAACUACGUG
RNAcentral lists this ribosomal RNA (484 nucleotides) under uncultured bacterium. Its description in RNAcentral is "partial 16S ribosomal RNA". It matches the Rfam family "Bacterial small subunit ribosomal RNA", at positions 30 to 507 of the family's 1533-position model. The record is from RNAcentral.